CCUCUUCCUCUUCCUCUUCCUCUUCCUCUUCCUCUUCCUCUUCCUCUUCCUCUUCCUCUUCCUCUUCCUCUUCCUCUUCCUCUUCCUCUUCCUUUUCUUUCUUUUUUUCUCUUUCCCCCUUUUCUGUCUGGGUCAGGGUCGGGAAAAGGAUUGCACAGGAGGAGACACCAGGCAGGAAAGGUGGCCCAUGUGCCUGGAUGUUCUGAUACAGAUGAAAACUGGAAGAAUGAGGGCUAAGAGCAACUGACAGAAAAUGCAUUGGGAAUAUAAGGAAGAUUCAUGCAAAUGAGAUGGAGCUGACCAAAAGACAUUACUAUGAUCAGAAACUAUGGCUCCCUGAAAAGACGUGUCAUUAAUCUUCU
This 362-nucleotide long non-coding RNA is filed under the name Zonotrichia albicollis (white-throated sparrow). RNAcentral's name for it is "lncRNA (ENSZALG00000002871.1)". Lineage: Eukaryota; Metazoa; Chordata; Aves; Passeriformes; Passerellidae. The record is from RNAcentral.